UGGGGGAAUAUUGCACAAUGGGCGAAAGCCUGAUGCAGCGACGCCGCGUGAGCGAAGAAGUAUUUCGGUAUGUAAAGCUCUAUCAGCAGGGAAGAUAAUGACGGUACCUGACUAGGAAGCACCGGCUAAAUACGUGCCAGCAGCCGCGGUAAUACGUAUGGUGCAAGCGUUAUCCGGAUUUACUGGGUGUAAAGGGAGCGCAGGCGGUGCGGCAAGUCUGAUGUGAAAGCCCGGGGCUCAACCCCGGUACUGCAUUGGAAACUGUCGUACUAGAGUGUCGGAGGGGUAAGCGGAAUUCCUAGUGUAGCGGUGAAAUGCGUAGAGAUUAGGAAGAACA
Molecule: ribosomal RNA, 337 nt
Filed under: uncultured Lachnospiraceae bacterium
Lineage: Bacteria; Bacillati; Bacillota; Clostridia; Lachnospirales; Lachnospiraceae
Description: bacterial SSU rRNA
Rfam family: Bacterial small subunit ribosomal RNA
Source: RNAcentral